Molecule: long non-coding RNA, 765 nt
Filed under: Sinocyclocheilus anshuiensis
Lineage: Eukaryota; Metazoa; Chordata; Actinopteri; Cypriniformes; Cyprinidae
Description: lncRNA (ENSSANG00000003789.1)
Source: RNAcentral
CUCGGUUGACGUCACUGCUAGCUGGCCCUUUGGUAUCCACGGUGAUGCGGCUGUCCAUCAUCCAUCACCGGAGACUGUGAAAAAUGUCAGUUCUUCAUAAAAGCUCCCAGCAUUGUGGCCUGAUCCCAGCCCUCUGGAACACUGAUGUUCAGGAAUGGGAAAUCAACUGCAUGAACCGCCUAGUCUUGGAGGAGGCCGAUGGCAGACAUGAUGAAGAGAAAGUGAAAAAAGAAAGCACAAAAGACUGUACAAGUUCUCUCAGCGAUGGACAACAAGAUGAAAAACCUUCACAAGAAGUUGGCAGGAACACUUCCAAGAAAGCAGCUCCAGGCUCUAGCACUAAAAAUGUUUUCACACGGCUGCUGAAAGUGGCUCAGCAUUACCUUUUGGAAUCGGGGAAGUACAGUGCGCCUGCCAGGUCUUCUCCUGCCAAGAGGAGCCCUGCCCUCGGCCGUCUCCCCAAAACCAGAAUCUCCACCUCCUUCACUCAGGCACAGGGUCGAACCAGGAGGAGCAGUAGCAGGCGUUCCCAAAAUUCCACUCUGGGUGGGGUGAAGAAGGAGCAGCUCCCUUCUCAAGAUUCUGAUGGAGGUGCUGCUGAAGACAGGUGUGUGAAAGAAAUAAAGACAGAACGCUAAACAAUCUGGCCCCUUUUGUGUUUAAAUAGGUUUAGUUCAAGAAGGAGCAGCUCCCUUCUCAAGAUUCUGAUGGAGGUGCUGCUGAAGACAGGUGUGUGAAAGAAAUAAAGACAAAACGCUAAACAAU